RNAcentral lists this ribosomal RNA (1434 nucleotides) under uncultured organism. RNAcentral describes it as "SSU rRNA". It matches the Rfam family "Bacterial small subunit ribosomal RNA". The record is from RNAcentral.
CGCUAGCUACAGGCUUAACACAUGCAAGUCGAGGGGCAGCAUUUUAGUUUGCUUGCAAACUAGAGAUGGCGACCGGCGCACGGGUGAGUAACACGUAUCCAACCUGCCGAUAACUCGGGGAUAGCCUUUCGAAAGAAAGAUUAAUAUCCGAUAGUAUAUUAAAACCGCAUGGUUUUACUAUUAAAGAAUUUCGGUUAUCGAUGGGGAUGCGUUCCAUUAGUUUGUUGGCGGGGUAACGGCCCACCAAGACUACGAUGGAUAGGGGUUCUGAGAGGAAGGUCCCCCACAUUGGAACUGAGACACGGUCCAAACUCCUACGGGAGGCAGCAGUGAGGAAUAUUGGUCAAUGGACGAGAGUCUGAACCAGCCAAGUAGCGUGAAGGAUGACUGCCCUAUGGGUUGUAAACUUCUUUUAUAUGGGAAUAAAGUAUUCCACGUGUGGGAUUUUGUAUGUACCAUAUGAAUAAGGAUCGGCUAACUCCAUGCCAGCAGCCGCGGUAAUACGGAGGAUCCGAGCGUUAUCCGGAUUUAUUGGGUUUAAAGGGAGCGUAGGUGGAUUGUUAAGUCAGUUGUGAAAGUUUGCGGCUCAACCGUAAAAUUGCAGUUGAAACUGGCAGUCUUGAGUACAGUAGAGGUGGGCGGAAUUCGUGGUGUAGCGGUGAAAUGCUUAGAUAUCACGAAGAACUCCGAUUGCGAAGGCAGCUCACUAGACUGCAACUGACACUGAUGCUCGAAAGUGUGGGUAUCAAACAGGAUUAGAUACCCUGGUAGUCCACACAGUAAACGAUGAAUACUCGCUGUUUGCGAUAUACAGUAAGCGGCCAAGCGAAAGCAUUAAGUAUUCCACCUGGGGAGUACGCCGGCAACGGUGAAACUCAAAGGAAUUGACGGGGGCCCGCACAAGCGGAGGAACAUGUGGUUUAAUUCGAUGAUACGCGAGGAACCUUACCCGGGCUUAAAUUGCAUUUGAAUAAUCUGGAAACAGGUUAGCCGCAAGGCAAAUGUGAAGGUGCUGCAUGGUUGUCGUCAGCUCGUGCCGUGAGGUGUCGGCUUAAGUGCCAUAACGAGCGCAACCCUUAUCUUUAGUUACUAACAGGUCAUGCUGAGGACUCUAGAGAGACUGCCGUCGUAAGAUGUGAGGAAGGUGGGGAUGACGUCAAAUCAGCACGGCCCUUACGUCCGGGGCUACACACGUGUUACAAUGGGGGGUACAGAAGGCAGCUACCUGGUGACAGGAUGCUAAUCCCAAAAACCUCUCUCAGUUCGGAUCGAAGUCUGCAACCCGACUUCGUGAAGCUGGAUUCGCUAGUAAUCGCGCAUCAGCCAUGGCGCGGUGAAUACGUUCCCGGGCCUUGUACACACCGCCCGUCAAGCCAUGAAAGCCGGGGGUACAAGAAGUACGUAACCGCAAGGAGCGUCCUAGGGUAAAACCGG